This 399-nucleotide ribosomal RNA is filed under the name uncultured bacterium. RNAcentral describes it as "partial 16S ribosomal RNA". It matches the Rfam family "Bacterial small subunit ribosomal RNA", at positions 360 to 776 of the family's 1533-position model. The record is from RNAcentral.
AAUAUUGCACAAUGGGCGCAAGCCUGAUGCAGCAACGCCGCGUGCGCGACGAAGGCCUUCGGGUCGUAAAGCGCUUUUCGGGGAGAUGAGUACGGACAGUAUCCCCGGAAGAAGGAUCGGCUAACUACGUUCCAGCAGCCGCGGUAAUACGUAGGGGGCAAGCGUUAUCCGGAAUCAUUGGGCGUAAAGGGUGCGUAGGCGGCCCUAUAGGUCAGAGGUCAAAGGCUACGGCUCAACCGUAGUAAGCCUUUGAAACUGUAGGGCUUGAGUGCAGGAGAGGAGAGUGGAAUUCCUAGUGUAGCGGUGAAAUGCGUAGAUAUUAGGAGGAACACCAGUGGCGAAGGCGACUCUCUGGACUGCAACUGACGCUGAGGCACGAAAGCGUGGGGAGCGAACAGG